AUUGAACGCUGGCGGCAGGCCUAACACAUGCAAGUCGAGCGGUAACAGGGGAAGCUUGCUUCCCGCUGACGAGCGGCGGACGGGUGAGUAACGCGUAGGAAUCUACCAAGUAGUGGGGGAUAAGCCAGAGAAAUUUGGUCUAAUACCGCAUACGUUCUUCGGAAGAAAGGAGGGGAUCUUCGGACCUUUCGCUAUUUGAUGAGCCUGCGUGAGAUUAGCUUGUUGGUGAGGUAAUGGCUCACCAAGGCGACGAUCUCUAGCUGGUCUGAGAGGAUGAUCAGCCACACUGGAACUGAGACACGGUCCAGACUCCUACGGGAGGCAGCAGUGGGGAAUAUUGCACAAUGGGCGCAAGCCUGAUGCAGCCAUGCCGCGUGUGUGAAGAAGGCCCUAGGGUUGUAAAGCACUUUCAGCAGUGAGGAAGGUUAUAAGUUAAUACCUUAUAACUGUGACGUUAAC
RNAcentral lists this ribosomal RNA (459 nucleotides) under uncultured bacterium. RNAcentral's name for it is "bacterial SSU rRNA". It matches the Rfam family "Bacterial small subunit ribosomal RNA", at positions 30 to 479 of the family's 1533-position model. The record is from RNAcentral.